Molecule: ribosomal RNA, 245 nt
Filed under: uncultured Adhaeribacter sp.
Lineage: Bacteria; Pseudomonadati; Bacteroidota; Cytophagia; Cytophagales; Hymenobacteraceae
Description: partial 16S ribosomal RNA
Rfam family: Bacterial small subunit ribosomal RNA
Source: RNAcentral
UACGGAGGGUGCAAGCGUUGUCCGGAUUUAUUGGGUUUAAAGGGUGCGUAGGCGGCCCGUUAAGUCAGUGGUGAAAGCCAACAGCUCAACUGUUGAACUGCCAUUGAUACUGACGGGCUUGAGUACAGACGAGGUAGGCGGAAUUUAAGAUGUAGCGGUGAAAUGCAUAGAUAUCUUCAAGAACACCGAUUGCGUAGGCAGCUUACUAGGCUGUAACUGACGCUGAGGCACGAAAGCGUGGGGAG